GAAAUGCGAUAAGUAGUGUGAAUUGCAGAAUUCAGUGAAUCAUCGAAUCUUUGAACGCACAUUGCGCCCCUUGGUAUUCCAUGGGGCAUGCCUGUUCGAGCGUCAUUUGUACCCUCAAGCUAUGCUUGGUGUUGGGUGUUUGUCCUUUGCUUUAUUGCUUGGACUCGCCUUAAAAUAAUUGGCAGCCAUUGUUUUGGUAGAAAGCGCAGCACAUUUUGCAAUUUCCUCCAAGAGUAUUAGCGACCAACAAGCCUUUUUAACACUUUUGACCUCGGAUCAGGUAGGGAUACCCGCUGAACUUAA
RNAcentral lists this unclassified non-coding RNA (303 nucleotides) under uncultured Leptospora. RNAcentral's name for it is "sequence contains ITS1". The stretch from base 1 to 105 matches the Rfam family "5.8S ribosomal RNA", at positions 50 to 154 of the family's 154-position model. The record is from RNAcentral. Lineage: Eukaryota; Fungi; Ascomycota; Lecanoromycetes; Micropeltidales; Micropeltidaceae.